CAAGGGUGCCGGCGAGCGGCGGACGGGUGAGCAAUACAUAGGAAUCUACCUUAGAGCGGGGGAUAGCCCGGGGAAACCCGGAUUAAUACCGCAUGAUGUCGAAAGACCAAAGUGGGGGAUCGUAAGACCUCACACUCUGAGAUGAGCCUAUGUCGGAUUAGCUAGUUGGCGGGGUAACGGCCCACCAAGGCGACGAUCCGUAGCUGGUCUGAGAGGACGAUCAGCCACACCGGAACUGAGACACGGUCCGGACUCCUACGGGAGGCAGCAGUGGGGAAUAUUGGACAAUGGGCGAAAGCCUGAUCCAGCGACGCCGCGUGGGUGAAGAAGGCCUUCGGGUUGUAAAGCCCUUUAAGCCGGGACGAAAAAGCUGCACCUAACACGUGCGGCCUUGACGGUACCGGAAGAAUAG
RNAcentral lists this ribosomal RNA (412 nucleotides) under uncultured bacterium. RNAcentral describes it as "bacterial SSU rRNA". It matches the Rfam family "Bacterial small subunit ribosomal RNA", at positions 80 to 489 of the family's 1533-position model. The record is from RNAcentral.